RNAcentral lists this transfer RNA (76 nucleotides) under Acidobacteriota bacterium. RNAcentral describes it as "Acidobacteria bacterium (activated sludge metagenome) tRNA-Asn". It matches the Rfam family "tRNA". From Rfam's summary of the family: Transfer RNA (tRNA) molecules are approximately 80 nucleotides in length. Their secondary structure includes four short double-helical elements and three loops (D, anti-codon, and T loops). Further hydrogen bonds mediate the characteristic L-shaped molecular structure. tRNAs have two regions of fundamental functional importance: the anti-codon, which is responsible for specific mRNA codon recognition, and the 3' end, to which the tRNAs corresponding amino acid is attached (by aminoacyl-tRNA synthetases). tRNAs cope with the degeneracy of the genetic code in two manners: having more than one tRNA (with a specific anti-codon) for a particular amino acid; and 'wobble' base-pairing, i.e. permitting non-standard base-pairing at the 3rd anti-codon position. RNAcentral also lists the same sequence under 1 other name. Lineage: Bacteria; Pseudomonadati; Acidobacteriota. The record is from RNAcentral.
UGGCAGGUAACUCAGUUGGUAGAGUACCCGACUGUUAAUCGGGUUGUAGCGGGUUCGAGUCCCGCCCUGUCAGCCA